AUGGGUACCUGGUUGAUCCUGCCAGUAGUUAUAUGCUUGUCUCAAAGAUUAAGCCAUGCAUGUCUAAGUACAAGCCUUUGUGCAAAGCGAAACUGCGAAUGGCUCAUUAAAUCAGUUAUGGUUCAUUUGAUCGUUGCCUUUGCCCUCGCGGGCCGAGGCUACUUGGAUAACUGUGGCAAUUCUAGAGCUAAUACAUGCGAACCUCGCGGCGCCGCCGCUCGCUCGCGGGCGGCGCGCGCCGCGUGCUUUUAUUAGGAACAAGGCCAGCCUCGUGUGCGUCUUGGCGAACUCUGGAUAACUCUGCCGAUCGCACGGUCACCACUGCACCGGCGACGAAUCAUUCAAGUGUCUGCCCUAUCAACUGUCGAUGGUAGGUUACGCGCCUACCAUGGUUUUAACGGGUGACGGGGAAUCGGGGUUCGAUUCCGGAGAGGGAGCCUGAGAGACGGCUACCACAUCCAAGGAAGGCAGCAGGCGCGCAAAUUACCCAUUCCCGACACGGGGAGGUAGUGACGAAAAAUACCGAUGCGGGACUCUUUCGAGCUUCUCGCAAUCGGAAUGAGCACAGCCUAAAUCCUUUCCGCGAGGAUCUAUUGGAGGGCAAGUCUGGUGCCAGCAGCCGCGGUAAUUCCAGCUCCAAUAGCGUAUACUAAAGUUGUUGCAGUUAAAAAGCUCGUAGUUGGAUCUCGGCGCCGAGCCGGCGGUGGACCCCACCAGUGGCGUCCCACUGCCGUGCGCCAGGGCCGACAGUGGGCGGCGGGACGCGGCGGGGGCGGUCGGUCGGCGGGCGCGCGCGGCGGCCCGCCCGUCCUCGCGGGCCCGCCCGGCCCCGUUCUCCCCGCCCGGCCCGUUCGCUCGUCGGCCGCCUGCUGGCAGCUCGGCGCCUCUCUCUCCGGCUCUCCACUGCCGGUGCUCUUGACCGAGUGUCGGUCGGUGGCCGGAACGUUUACUUUGAGAAAAUUGGAGUGUUCAAAGCGGGCGUUGCCCGGCGUCGCGCGGCCCCGCGUCGCGCGCUCGUCGACUCUGCCGGAACAGUUCAGCAUGGAAUAAUGGAAUAGGACCUCGGUUCUGUUUGCGUUGGUUCUACUUGGGAACGUCGAGGUAAUGAUUGAGAGGGACUGACGGGGGCAUUCGUAUUGCGGCGUCAGAGGUGAAAUUCUUGGAUCGCCGCAAGACGGACUGCUGCGAAAGCGUUUGCCAAGAAUGUUUUCGUUAAUCAAGAACGAAAGUUAGAGGUUCGAAGACGAUCAGAUACCGUCGUAGUUCUAACCGUAAACGAUGCCGACCGGCGAUCCGCCACCGUUCUCUAAUCGCGACAGACUUGGCGGGGAGCCACGCGGGAAACCUCGAGUCUCUGGGUUCCGGGGGAAGUAUGGUUGCAAAGCUGAAACUUAAAGGAAUUGACGGAAGGGCACCACCAGGAGUGGAGCCUGCGGCUUAAUUUGACCCAACACGGGAAAACUCACCCGGCCCGGACACGGCGAGGAUUGACAGAUCGAGAGCUCUUUCUUGAUUCCGUGGGUGGUGGUGCAUGGCCGUUCUUAGUUGGUGGAGCGAUUUGUCUGGUUAAUUCCGAUAACGAACGAGACUCUGGCUUGCUAAAUAGUGGCGGCGACGGUUGUGGCGGACCCGCGGCUGGCGCGCGGCCCGCGCCUCGCCACCGUCCCGCGGCCCCCGGGUCGCGGGCGGCGGCGCGGCCGGACCGUGGCGCGGCGGCGGCCGCCUCGCCCCGUCGACCGUUACCGCGGGGGCCGGCGGCGCCUCGCGGCCCGUCGCCCCGCGGCACUUCUUAGAGGGACAAGUGGCGCUCAGCCACGCGAAAUGGAGCAAUAACAGGUCUGUGAUGCCCUUAGAUGUCCGGGGCCGCACGCGCGCUACACUGAAAGAAUCAACGUGCCAGCUACUUGGCCUGGGCCGACAGGUCCGGGUAACCCGUUGAACCUCUUUCGUGCUUGGGACAGGGAUUUGCAAUUGUCUCCCUCGAACGAGGAAUUCCCAGUAAGCGCGAGU
Molecule: ribosomal RNA, 2010 nt
Filed under: Rhabdopleura sp. GA-2016
Lineage: Eukaryota; Metazoa; Hemichordata; Pterobranchia; Rhabdopleurida; Rhabdopleuridae
Description: SSU rRNA
Rfam family: Eukaryotic small subunit ribosomal RNA
Source: RNAcentral